This 396-nucleotide long non-coding RNA is filed under the name Cyanistes caeruleus (blue tit). RNAcentral describes it as "lncRNA (ENSCCEG00000014673.1)". The record is from RNAcentral. Lineage: Eukaryota; Metazoa; Chordata; Aves; Passeriformes; Paridae.
AAUAUCAUCCUCUGUUUCAGGGUCACAAUACACAGUACAGUAAAGAUGGAAAUUAAUGCAUGUCAAUUUAUAACUUUGUGCCUGCAAUUUCCUUGAGGAUUGGUCAUUGUGUUUUGGACCUUACAAUGGAAGCCACAUCUUUGUCUUGCCACUGUCACUUUGUUUGCAAGGGCAGUAAUGGAUGGGUUCAUCCUUAAAACUUUUUCCAACAUGGUCAAGCUCUUGGACAGUAGUACCUGCAAAGAGAACAUCUCUUAUUGCCCAUCCUCAACCUUUUCAUAGUUUUUGAAAACUCUAUCUCUGAAAUAUUUGUUCUAGACAUCUUAACUGGUUUGAGAGGGCACAUGGACAAUAUAAGAAAUAAUCCCUUAGAAAUAAGAAAAAGCCAAAUAUAAA